Molecule: transfer RNA, 73 nt
Filed under: Pristimantis thymelensis (Thymelen robber frog)
Lineage: Eukaryota; Metazoa; Chordata; Amphibia; Anura; Strabomantidae
Description: tRNA-Leu
Rfam family: tRNA
About the family: Transfer RNA (tRNA) molecules are approximately 80 nucleotides in length. Their secondary structure includes four short double-helical elements and three loops (D, anti-codon, and T loops). Further hydrogen bonds mediate the characteristic L-shaped molecular structure. tRNAs have two regions of fundamental functional importance: the anti-codon, which is responsible for specific mRNA codon recognition, and the 3' end, to which the tRNAs corresponding amino acid is attached (by aminoacyl-tRNA synthetases). tRNAs cope with the degeneracy of the genetic code in two manners: having more than one tRNA (with a specific anti-codon) for a particular amino acid; and 'wobble' base-pairing, i.e. permitting non-standard base-pairing at the 3rd anti-codon position.
Source: RNAcentral
GUUAAUGUAGCAAACCCAGGUUUUGCAAAAGCCCUAAACCCUUUUUAUAGAGGUUCAAAUCCUCUCUUUAACN